This 460-nucleotide ribosomal RNA is filed under the name uncultured bacterium. RNAcentral's name for it is "partial 16S ribosomal RNA". It matches the Rfam family "Bacterial small subunit ribosomal RNA", at positions 338 to 795 of the family's 1533-position model. The record is from RNAcentral.
CCUACGGGAGGCAGCAGUGAGGAAUAUUGGUCAAUGGGCGCGAGCCUGAACCAGCCAAGUAGCGUGAAGGAUGACUGCCCUACGGGUUGUAAACUUCUUUUAUAAAGGAAUAAAGUGAGGCACGUGUGCCGUUGUGUAAGUACUCGAUGAAAAAGGAUCGGCUAACUCCGUGCCAGCAGCCGCGGUAAUACGGAGGAUCCGAGCGUUAUCCGGAUUUAUUGGGUUUAAAGGGAGCGUAGAUGGGUUGUUAAGUCAGUUGUGAAAGUUUGCGGCUCAACCGUAAAAUGGCAAUUGAUACUGGCAGUCUUGAGUGCAGUUGAGGUAGGCGGAAUUCGUGGUGUAGCGGUGAAAUGCUUAGAUAUCACGAAGAACUCCGAUUGCGAAGGCAGCUUACUAACCUGCCACUGACAUUGAUGCUCGAAAGUGUGGGUAUCGAACAGGAUUAGAUACCCGUGUAGUC